This 301-nucleotide ribosomal RNA is filed under the name uncultured bacterium. Its description in RNAcentral is "partial 16S ribosomal RNA". It matches the Rfam family "Bacterial small subunit ribosomal RNA", at positions 509 to 809 of the family's 1533-position model. The record is from RNAcentral.
CAGCAGCCACGGGAAUACGAAGGGUGCAAGCGUUACUCGGAAUUACUGGGCGUAAAGCGUGCGUAGGUGGUGGUUUAAGUCCGUUGUGAAAGCCCUGGGCUCAACCUGGGAAUUGCAGUGGAUACUGGGUCACUAGAGUGUGGUAGAGGAUAGUGGAAUUUCCGGUGUAGCAGUGAAAUGCGUAGAGAUCGGAAGGAACAUCUGUGGCGAAGGCGACUAUCUGGGCCAACACUGACACUGAGGCACGAAAGCGUGGGGAGCAAACAGGAUUAGAUACCAGUAGUCCCUGUCUCUUAUACAC